RNAcentral lists this non-coding RNA (133 nucleotides) under Bradyrhizobium erythrophlei. RNAcentral's name for it is "TPP sequence". It matches the Rfam family "TPP riboswitch aptamer (THI element)". From Rfam's summary of the family: Vitamin B(1) in its active form thiamin pyrophosphate (TPP) is an essential coenzyme that is synthesised by coupling of pyrimidine and thiazole moieties in bacteria. The previously detected thiamin-regulatory element, thi box was extended, resulting in a new, highly conserved RNA secondary structure, the THI element, which is widely distributed in eubacteria and also occurs in some archaea. Analysis of operon structures identified a large number of new candidate thiamin-regulated genes, mostly transporters, in various prokaryotic organisms. The record is from RNAcentral. Lineage: Bacteria; Pseudomonadati; Pseudomonadota; Alphaproteobacteria; Hyphomicrobiales; Nitrobacteraceae.
CAGUGUUCCGAGGGGAGCUCCGAUGAGGAGCUGAGAUACCGCAAGCUUUAGGCCGGUUUGGCCUUGAGACCGCGGUGACCCUUUGAACCUGAUCCGGGUCAUGCCGGCGAAGGGACAGGGAUGUACCAGAGUU